UACGGGGGGAGCAAGCGUUGUUCGGAUUCAUUGGGCGUAAAGGGUGCGUAGGCGGCGCGGUAAGUCGGAUGUGAAAUCUCGGGGCUUAACUCCGAAACUGCAUUCGAUACUGCCGUGCUUGAGGACUGGAGAGGAGACUGGAAUUUACGGUGUAGCGGUGAAAUGCGUAGAUAUCGUAAGGAAGACCAGUGGCGAAGGCGGGUCUCUGGACAGUUCCUGACGCUGAGGCACGAAGGCCAGGGGAGCAAACGGG
RNAcentral lists this ribosomal RNA (253 nucleotides) under uncultured bacterium. RNAcentral describes it as "partial 16S ribosomal RNA". It matches the Rfam family "Bacterial small subunit ribosomal RNA", at positions 524 to 776 of the family's 1533-position model. The record is from RNAcentral.